This 443-nucleotide ribosomal RNA is filed under the name uncultured bacterium. RNAcentral's name for it is "bacterial SSU rRNA". It matches the Rfam family "Bacterial small subunit ribosomal RNA", at positions 338 to 795 of the family's 1533-position model. The record is from RNAcentral.
CCUACGGGUGGCACCAGUGGGGAAUUUUGGGCAAUGGGCGAAAGCCUGACCCAGCGACGCCGCGUUGGGGAUGAAGUCCUUCGGGGCGUAAACCCAUGUUGUAGGGGAAGAAGAAAGUGACGGUACCCUACGAGAAAGCCCCGGCCAACUACGUGCCAGCAGCCGCGGUAAAACGUAGGGGGCGAGCGUUGUCCGGAAUUACUGGGCGUAAAGGGCAUGCAGGCGGUGCGCCAAGUCGGGGGUGUAAAGUUACGGCUCAACCGUGACCUUGCAAUCGAAACUGGCGCACUGGAGUGCGGGAGAGGGAAGUGGAAUUCCCGGUGUAGCGGUGAAAUGCGUAGAUAUCGGGAGGAACGCCAGUGGCGAAGGCGGCUUCCUGGCCCGCGACUGACGCUCAUGUGCGAAAGCCAGGGGAGCGAACCGGAUUAGAUACCCUAGUAGUC